CAAGAAAAUGUGCUAGUUGCAAGAAAUAUGAUAAAAUAAAAAUACUAAUAUGAAUGUUAAUCAUGCACAGCUUAGUGUGCACAAUUUGUAGCAAAGUGUUUGUCAUUAAAGAGUAGUUAAAGUGUUGUUUGAGGAGAUUCGUGUCAACAUUUGGUGUAAAGCAGAUAUUUCCUGGUCCCCAGCGGACAGUAGAAAAUUAGGGUAGUGGGUCAGACCCUCUGGCUGGGCGAAUGCUCAUUUAUUAGUGGUGCUACGGUUUUGUUUAGCCAGAUAUCUCAUAGAUGGGAGUGUGAUACUCAGGCUCACAUCCCAUUAUGCCUCAUCGAUCGUGAUUACUGAAUGAGGUCAAUUAAAUAUCUCCCACCCCCAGCAUUGAUAUGGAAACCAUAGGUGUUGGGAAAUUAUAAGGACUAGGUAACGUUUUAACUUUUUUUUUUUUUUUUUUGGAACUAAAACGUUUACCCUGUCACACACCCUCAUGUUAAUGGGGAUUAGUUUUCUAUUGAGUUAACCUAACCAUCCUUCUGUACAGUGGCUGAAAUGCAUGUGUGGGAGGUCAAGCAAUAAAAAUUAUAACAAGGAAUGUAAUGUUAACUAAAAAGAUGGCUAGAAGCCAUCUUCAGCAAGUGUUGGUCAGGAAUCAGAGAUUCAGGUCCAUUCAGGUUAAUGAGGUUGUGAGUCCUCUGGAACUCCUGGUAGGAGUAGGUAUUUCUCUGCACCGCUGUGGUUGUGGCAUAGUAGGUGUAAAACCAGAUUCAUUGUACCAGUCCUGACCACGAACUUGUUUUAAUCCCAAUGCUUGUGUAAAUGUUGGGACAUCGCCAUGUUUUCAAAGUGAAUGGGUGAUUUGUCCCAUAGUGCUGUGAGGACCACUGCCUUGUCGUCGUUUUGAAAGGUAAUUAUUAAGUCCCUGGGGGCUGUGGUUGGUGCUUUGUUGGGUUUAGGGAUUCAAAAGAAUCUGUCCAGGGUGAUAGCUUUCCCGUCUCUGAUAGUAGGGCUGCCAGCAUGCCUCUCAAGAAACAUGGUAGUUCCGUUUCGGAGAUGUCUUCCGAGACCCCUCUGAGUUUGAGACUGUUUCUUCUCAGUGUGUCCUCUAGGGCCCCAAAACGACGUUCAUGUAGCAAGUUCUGCUGCUGCAGGUCAUGUACGGCUUGGUGAAGCUUGGCAAUGUGUUGAGUGCUUGUUUGGGAAGUUCCCUCUAGAGCCCCGAUGCGGCCAGUCAGCCCUUGCAGGUCACUGCGUACCGCCGUGAUGUCUGCCAAGAUAUUCCUUUGUAGGUCUGCCAGCAAUACUUUUAGGACCGAUGUGGUCACAGGUGAGGAGUCCAACCCGGAUUUGUUGUUUCGUCACUUUACGAGGGAGCCGGUGCAGAGUAGUUCGUCUUCAUCAGCGUCGCCAGACAACUCGUCUGAGAAGUUUAGGCAACCGCAGCCAUUUUGGGCCCGCUGGCGCCAUGCGCUUGCCUCCACAUGUCCCCAAUAGUAAGCCCCGGUGCAGUUUAGUCUGAUGGUGGUCGCUGUUGUUCAGGUCAACCCGGUGGGCUCUUAUGGUAAAUUUUUGGAGGUGAG
RNAcentral lists this long non-coding RNA (1568 nucleotides) under Pelobates cultripes (western spadefoot toad). Lineage: Eukaryota; Metazoa; Chordata; Amphibia; Anura; Pelobatidae. The record is from RNAcentral.